RNAcentral lists this ribosomal RNA (467 nucleotides) under uncultured bacterium. RNAcentral describes it as "bacterial SSU rRNA". It matches the Rfam family "Bacterial small subunit ribosomal RNA", at positions 60 to 524 of the family's 1533-position model. The record is from RNAcentral.
AGUCGAACGGCAGCGCGGGGCAACCUGGCGGCGAGUGGCGAACGGGUGAGUAAUAUAUCGGAACGUACCCUGGAGUGGGGGAUAACGUAGCGAAAGUUACGCUAAUACCGCAUACGAUCUAAGGAUGAAAGUGGGGGAUCGCAAGACCUCAUGCUCCUGGAGCGGCCGAUAUCUGAUUAGCUAGUUGGUGGGGUAAAGGCCUACCAAGGCAUCGAUCAGUAGCUGGUCUGAGAGGACGACCAGCCACACUGGAACUGAGACACGGUCCAGACUCCUACGGGAGGCAGCAGUGGGGAAUUUUGGACAAUGGGCGAAAGCCUGAUCCAGCAAUGCCGCGUGAGUGAAGAAGGCCUUCGGGUUGUAAAGCUCUUUUGUCAGGGAAGAAACGGUGAGGGCUAAUAUCUCUUGCUAAUGACGGUACCUGAAGAAUAAGCACCGGCUAACUACGUGCCAGCAGCCGCGGUAAU